AGAGUUUGAUCAUGGCUCAGAAUCAACGCUGGCGGCGUGCCUAACACAUGCAAGUCGAACGAGAAAGUGGAGCAAUCCAUGAGUAAAGUGGCGCACGGGUGAGUAACACGUGACUAACCUACCCAGGAGUGGGGGAUAACUGAGGGAAACCUUAGCUAAUACCGCAUAACACCUACGGGUCAAAGGAGCAAUUCGCUUCUGGAGGGGGUCGCGGCCGAUUAGUUAGUUGGCAGGGUAAUGGCCUACCAAGACGAUGAUCGGUAUCCGGCCUGAGAGGGCGCACGGACACACUGGAACUGAAACACGGUCCAGACUCCUACGGGAGGCAGCAGUGGGGAAUUUUGCGCAAUGGGGGAAACCCUGACGCAGCAACGCCGCGUGGAGGAUGAAGUCCUUCGGGACGUAAACUCCUUUCGAUCGGGACGAUUAUGACGGUACCGGAAGAAGAAGCCCCGGCUAACUUCGUGCCAGCAGCCGCGGUAAUACGAGGGGGGCGAGCGUUGUUCGGAAUUAUUGGGCGUAAAGGGUGCGUAGGCGGUUUGGUAAGUCUGAUGUGAAAUCUAUGGGCUCAACUCAUAGUCUGCAUCGGAAACUGCCGGGCUUGAGUGUGGGAGAGGUGAGUGGAAUUCCUGGUGUAGCGGUGAAAUGCGUAGAUAUCAGGAGGAACACCUGUGGCGAAAGCGGCUCACUGGACCAUAACUGACGCUGAUGCACGAAAGCUAGGGGAGCAAACAGGAUUAGAUACCCUAGUAGUCC
This 756-nucleotide ribosomal RNA is filed under the name uncultured bacterium. Its description in RNAcentral is "bacterial SSU rRNA". It matches the Rfam family "Bacterial small subunit ribosomal RNA", at positions 8 to 796 of the family's 1533-position model. The record is from RNAcentral.